AUGGCUGUCGUCAGCUCGUGCCGUGAGGUGUUGGGUUAAGUCCCGCAACGAGCGCAACCCCUACUGCCAGUUACUAACAGGUAACGCUGAGGACUCUGGCGGAACUGCCGGUGACAAAACCGGAGGAAGGGUGGGGAUGACGUCAAGUCAUCAUGGCCCCUAUGUCCAGGGCUACACACGUGCUACAAUGGGCGAUACAGAGUGACGCGAAGCCGCGAGGUGGAGCAAAUCGCAGAAAAUCGCUCUCAGUUCGGAUUGGGAGUCUGAAACCCGACUCCAUGAAGGUGGAAUCGCUAGUAAUCGCGCAUCAGCAUGGCCGCGGUCGAAUACGUUCCCGGGCCUU
This 343-nucleotide ribosomal RNA is filed under the name uncultured Spirochaetaceae bacterium. RNAcentral describes it as "bacterial SSU rRNA". It matches the Rfam family "Bacterial small subunit ribosomal RNA", at positions 1045 to 1382 of the family's 1533-position model. The record is from RNAcentral. Lineage: Bacteria; Pseudomonadati; Spirochaetota; Spirochaetia; Spirochaetales; Spirochaetaceae.